UUUCACCUUAAUUAUUCAUUAAGCUUUUCAAUUAUUCUGUGUGGCUCUAUAAUGUAAUGUGCUUUAUUUUACAAUAAAGGUAUUUAAAAAAAAAUCACCAUACAGUUAAAAGACAAACUAGGAAAAUCACUCAUAUUGUGAGCAAAUGACCAAUUUUCCCCAAGCAUAAAAAUUAGCUCCUUUGCAACUGCUAAAAAUAUCAACAACACAGUAGGAAAAUGAAAUAAAGAGAGUUCCCAGAACAGCAAAUAUAAUUGGCCUUUUAACAAAUUACAAAAGUUCAGCCUCACUACUGAAAAGAUAGAAGGCAGGUUUUU
This is a long non-coding RNA of Pipistrellus kuhlii (Kuhl's pipistrelle), 317 nucleotides long. RefSeq lists it as uncharacterized. The transcript has 2 exons. The record is from RefSeq and is a predicted model, not a curated record. NCBI's taxonomy places the organism in Eukaryota, Metazoa, Chordata, Mammalia, Chiroptera, Vespertilionidae.